This 233-nucleotide ribosomal RNA is filed under the name uncultured bacterium. RNAcentral's name for it is "partial 16S ribosomal RNA". It matches the Rfam family "Bacterial small subunit ribosomal RNA", at positions 118 to 347 of the family's 1533-position model. The record is from RNAcentral.
UGGGUGAUCUGCCCUGCACUUUGGGAUAAGCCUGGGAAACUGGGUCUAAUACCGAAUACACCCUGCUGGUCGCAUGGCCUGGUGGGGGAAAGCUUUUGCGGUGUGGGAUGGGCCCGCGGCCUAUCAGCUUGUUGGUGAGGUAACGGCUCACCAAGGCAUCGACGGGUAGCCGGCCUGAGAGGGCGACCGGCCACACUGGGACUGAGACACGGCCCAGACUCCGUACGGGAGCA